This 68-nucleotide ribosomal RNA is filed under the name Meloidogyne hapla. Its description in RNAcentral is "partial 28S ribosomal RNA". It matches the Rfam family "Eukaryotic large subunit ribosomal RNA", at positions 1 to 66 of the family's 3401-position model. The record is from RNAcentral. Lineage: Eukaryota; Metazoa; Nematoda; Chromadorea; Rhabditida; Meloidogynidae.
UUUGACCUGAGCUCAGUCGAGAUCACCCGCUGAACUUAAGCAUAUCAGUAAGCGGAGGAAAAGAAACU